GAUGAACGCUAGCGGCAGGCCUAACACAUGCAAGUCGAGGGGUAUAGUUCUUCGGAACUAGAGACCGGCGCACGGGUGCGUAACGCGUAUGCAAUCUACCUUUUACAGGGGAAUAGCCCAGAGAAAUUUGGAUUAAUGCCCCAUAGUGUUAUAGAAUCGCAUGGUUUUAUAACUAAAGUUCCAACGGUAAAAGAUGAGCAUGCGUCCCAUUAGUUAGUUGGUAAGGUAACGGCUUACCAAGACAAUGAUGGGUAGGGGUCCUGAGAGGGAGAUCCCCCACACUGGUACUGAGACACGGACCAGACUCCUACGGGAGGCAGCAGUGAGGAAUAUUGGACAAUGGGCGCAAGCCUGGUCCAGCCAUGCCGCGUGCAGGAAGACGGUCCUAUGGAUUGUAAACUGCUUUUGUACAGGAAGAAACACUCCCUCGUGAGGGAGCUUGACGGUACUGUAAGAAUAAGGAUCGGCUAACUCCGUG
RNAcentral lists this ribosomal RNA (478 nucleotides) under uncultured bacterium. Its description in RNAcentral is "bacterial SSU rRNA". It matches the Rfam family "Bacterial small subunit ribosomal RNA", at positions 28 to 507 of the family's 1533-position model. The record is from RNAcentral.